RNAcentral lists this ribosomal RNA (435 nucleotides) under uncultured bacterium. RNAcentral describes it as "partial 16S ribosomal RNA". It matches the Rfam family "Bacterial small subunit ribosomal RNA", at positions 29 to 507 of the family's 1533-position model. The record is from RNAcentral.
AGCGAACGCUGGCGGCAGGCUUAACACAUGCAAGUCGAGCGGGCAUAGCAAUAUGUCAGCGGCCGACGGUUGAGUAACGCGUGGGAACGUACCUUUUGGUUCGGAACCUCUGAGGGAAACUUCAGCUAAUACCGGAUAAGCUCUUACGGGGAAAUAUUUAUCGCCGCAAGAUCGGCCCGCGUCGGAUUAGCUUGUUGGUGAGGUAAUAGCUCACCAAGGCGACGAUCAGUAUCUGGUCUGAGAGGAAGAUCAGCCACAUUGGGACUGAGACACAGCACAAACUCCUACGGGAGGCAGCAGUGGGGAAUAUAGGACAGUGGGCGCAAGCCUGAUCCAGCCAUGCCGCGAGAGUUAUGAAGUCCCUAAGGUUGUAAAGCUCUUUUGUGCGGGAAGAUAAUGACGGUACCGAAAGAAUAAGCCCCGGCUAACUUCGUG